AGCCUUCUGUAUCCGUGCUGAGAUUUCGUCACACACCAGACCACAAAGUCUGACAUGACUCUCAAGAUAAGUGGAGUG
Non-coding RNA from Schistosoma margrebowiei, 78 nucleotides. The record is from Rfam. Lineage: Eukaryota; Metazoa; Platyhelminthes; Trematoda; Strigeidida; Schistosomatidae.